GCAUACAAUAAUUUAUGACAGAU
RNAcentral lists this microRNA (23 nucleotides) under Bombyx mori (domestic silkworm). RNAcentral's name for it is "bmo-miR-3329". The record is from miRBase by way of RNAcentral. Lineage: Eukaryota; Metazoa; Arthropoda; Insecta; Lepidoptera; Bombycidae.